This is a non-coding RNA of Triticum aestivum (bread wheat), 112 nucleotides long. The record is from Rfam. NCBI's taxonomy places the organism in Eukaryota, Viridiplantae, Streptophyta, Magnoliopsida, Poales, Poaceae.
UGGAAGAAAAUGAUAAGAUGCCUACCCGGUAGUGUUCCUAGAGUAAAAUUUUCAUUGCCUGCUUGUGGUACUGUAAGCAAGUGCUGGAAGUCUCAAAUGAUAAGACAACUUC